CCCUCAACCCUCAAAUCUUCGUCUUUCUCUCUCCUUCGAUCUCCCUCAAACCCUCAACCCUCAAAUCUUCGAUCUCCCUCAAACGUUCGAUCUCCUUCUCUCUCAUAUUUUUUUAAUUUUUUUUCCAGAUUUUGUGAUUUUAAUUUCUUUCAAAUUCAAGGUUUCGUUUGUUUUACCAGUUUUUCUGCAAUUUUUAGUUUGAUUCGAGUUUAAUUGGAGUAUAAAUUUGGUUCGCUGACCUCGCCCAGACAUCAUCGCGAGCACAUACCCUAAAUUUCUCGCUUUCAAAGAGGUGGGAAUUUAAUGAUCAGUACAAGAAAGCGUUAGAAGAAGACCCUUCUGUAUUUGAUUAUGAUGGUGUUUAUGAUGAUAUGAAAUCGAAAAUGGUUCAGCUGAAAGCCGAAGAUAAGCAGCAGCGCCAGGUGUAUUGGAUGUUCAGAGUAGCUACUGAGAAGCAGCAACAAUUUCUUGGUAGAUCCAAAAGACAUUGAUUUUGAUUCAAAACUCUCUAUCUCUUCUGCAUUGGUAUGACGCAGUGGUUGACUCGGCGACUGCAGCGAGGAAUCGUCAGAAACAGCUGGCACAACUCAAUCGAACUCGAUCUGGCGCUCACAGAGCUCUCAAGGGGCUUAGAUUUAUCAGCAAAAUCAAAUGGAUUUUGAAACCUUUAAUGGCAUUGAGGAAGUUGUUGCAAUUAUUUGGGACAAACAAGUUGAUGAAGAACAACAAUUCAAAGUCAAAUGUCGAAGAACUCUUUCUUCUGAUCUCAACGACGAGAUUCUUUUGAAUUUUUUCGACGCUUCGAUCUGGUAAUAAUGGAGCCUGCGGCCAGUGCGCCGAUCGUAAUGAAAUAAGUUCGUAUGGAUGGUUUUUGUCUCAUUCUCCUCGGAUCUGUGCUUUGAUUUGAUUUUGCGUUGUAUUAUUUCGUUCAUGUUGUGAAGUUUUGGAUUGAUUAAUGCUUAUACAAUGUGAAGAAUGAGUUACAUCUGGACUGAAUUUCAUUUUGUGAAUUUAAAAAUUGGACGAUUUGAUGAAUUUCGAGUUUUCUGAAUAUUGAUUGUGGAUCAGUGAGGUGAUUUUGUCCUAAUUGAUAUUAGUGAAUUGUUGUAAUUACAGGUUUUCAGUUUGAUUUUCAGUUGAUAUAGGUUAGCGCAGCUGCGCAGAUUCAUGUUGUCAAAUGGCGACCCCCUCUAAAAAUUAUAAUUAUACCAGUGCUUCACCAACUAAUGUGGUGAGGAAUUACAUUUAGUCAAUGGAGGUGUUAUUUUUAUGUUGAGAUGUUCCUUGGUCCUGUCUAGCAUUUUAGUUUUCUUCCAGAAAACGUUCCCGGUUAUACUAUGGGCUCUGCAAGGAUUUCUGGAGUACUUCAAUUGUUCGUUUACAACAAUCUUCCUCAAGAAUGAAAAUGGUUCCGGACUUGACUAAUGUCAUCAAUCUUAAAUGAAGAACAACUAUUACUACCACUUCUGAUUUUUUUUGCUGAUUGUCAACUAUUGAUUCCCUAUUUUGCUUCAUUUUGUCUAUGGUGGUUCUCUUAAGGAUAUGUAACCAAGU
This is a long non-coding RNA of Spinacia oleracea (spinach), 1554 nucleotides long. RefSeq lists it as uncharacterized. Lineage: Eukaryota; Viridiplantae; Streptophyta; Magnoliopsida; Caryophyllales; Amaranthaceae. The transcript is spliced from 7 exons. The record is from RefSeq and is a predicted model, not a curated record.